UGAAACUGCGAAUGGCUCAUUAAAACAGUUAUAGUUUAUUUGAUAAUCGAAUUUACAUGGAUAACCGUGGUAAUUCUAGAGCUAAUACAUGCUGGUUAGCCUGACUUUUGAGGAAGGGCUGUAUUUAUUAGAUAACAAACCAAUAUUCCCCGUGUCUAUUGUGAUGACUCAUAAUAACUGAUCGAAUCGCAUGGACUUUGUCCGCGAUAAAUCAUUCAAGUUUCUGCCCCAUCAGCUUUCGAUGGUAGUGUAUUGGACUACCAUGGCUUUAACGGGUAACGGAGGAUUAGGGUUCGAUCCCGGAGAGGGAGCCUGAGAAACGGCUACCACAUCUAAGGAAGGCAGCAGGCGCGUAAAUUACCCAAUCCUGACUCAGGGAGGUAGUGACAAGAAAUAACG
Molecule: ribosomal RNA, 399 nt
Filed under: uncultured eukaryote
Lineage: Eukaryota
Description: SSU rRNA
Rfam family: Eukaryotic small subunit ribosomal RNA
Source: RNAcentral